This is an unclassified non-coding RNA of Cercocebus atys (sooty mangabey), 71 nucleotides long. NCBI's taxonomy places the organism in Eukaryota, Metazoa, Chordata, Mammalia, Primates, Cercopithecidae. The record is from Ensembl.
CUUGGUAAUAGAGAAGGGGUCCUCACUUGCCCAGUCUUUGGAAUCCACCUUCUGUUGAUCUUCUGGGGAAC